UCGAACCCAGUAUCGCCCACCCGGACCGACGGCCCACCUGCGACCAGCAGGUGGGCCGUCGGCGUACGCGCCUGC
RNAcentral lists this transfer RNA (75 nucleotides) under Streptomyces hygroscopicus subsp. jinggangensis TL01. RNAcentral's name for it is "tRNA-Val". Lineage: Bacteria; Bacillati; Actinomycetota; Actinomycetes; Kitasatosporales; Streptomycetaceae. The record is from RNAcentral.